CUCAUCAUAAAAUAGUUUGUCAGGAGCUAUUAAUGUAAAAUAAAAGGAUAAAAAAUAUAUGGUUCGAAUUAGUCUCGUCAUGAAAUAGUUUAUCAGGAGCUUAUGCUUGAGAUAGCCUUCAUGGGCUUAUACUUAGAUCAGUCGGUCAAGAGCUCAUACUUGGGAUAGCUUGCCAGAAGCUUAUAUCUGAGACAGCCCUCAUGGACUUUCAUACGUGGGACAGCC
RNAcentral lists this long non-coding RNA (225 nucleotides) under Elaeis guineensis (African oil palm). RNAcentral describes it as "long non-coding RNA (EGUI_LNC047190)". Lineage: Eukaryota; Viridiplantae; Streptophyta; Magnoliopsida; Arecales; Arecaceae. The record is from RNAcentral.